Molecule: non-coding RNA, 88 nt
Organism: Picea glauca (white spruce)
Lineage: Eukaryota; Viridiplantae; Streptophyta; Pinopsida; Pinales; Pinaceae
Source: Rfam
UGGCCAAUGAUGAAAUUCUUAAAUCACACACCAUCUUUCGGAUCUGAUUGGCCUAUGGUCAUGCUGAUCUUCUGCAAUUCUGAGGCCG